AUGGGGACGCAGACGGAGGAGCUCGCAGCCAGGUUGGCGGCCAGGGGCCCCCAGCGGCAUCGGCGGACCAGGAGGAGGAGGAGGACGCGGGCCUGGGCGGACCGGGAGGAGGAGGAGGACACGGACUUGGGCGUCGUGCCGGCGGUCGUCGCGGCGCUGGCCGAGCCCGGCGCGUCACCGGCCGCGCUCGUCCAUGCGGCGGCCGCGGCGAUGAGCUUUGCUUGCGGCGUAGACGAUGGCGCGUGGGCCGUGCUUGCUGCUGGCGCCAUGGGGCACCUUACGCGGCUCCCCGCCCACCCCCACAACAAGUCUGUACAUUGGCCACAACCGGAUCCACAGGGAAGAGGUGCUCGAGAUCGAGGACAUCCAGAUUGA
This 375-nucleotide ribosomal RNA is filed under the name Triticum aestivum (bread wheat). RNAcentral describes it as "partial small subunit ribosomal RNA". The record is from RNAcentral. Lineage: Eukaryota; Viridiplantae; Streptophyta; Magnoliopsida; Poales; Poaceae.